UACGGAGGGUGCGAGCGUUGUCCGGAAUCAUUGGGCGUAAAGGGCGCGUAGGUGGCGCCGCAAGUCCAUGGUGAAAGCUCGAUGCUCAACAUCGAGUCGGCCACGGAGACUGCGGGGCUCGAGCACUGUAGGGGCAGAUGGAAUUCCGGGUGUAGCGGUGGAAUGCGUAGAGAUCCGGAAGAACACCGGUGGCGAAGGCGGUCUGCUGGGCAGUCGCUGACACUGAGGCGAGACAGCGUGGGGAGCAAACAGG
This 253-nucleotide ribosomal RNA is filed under the name uncultured bacterium. Its description in RNAcentral is "partial 16S ribosomal RNA". It matches the Rfam family "Bacterial small subunit ribosomal RNA", at positions 524 to 776 of the family's 1533-position model. The record is from RNAcentral.